UCCAACCCUGUCCAUUCUGUGAUUCUGUGAUUAUUGCUAGCAUCUCUGCAGCAUCUGACCAUUGAGCUUUGAGAAAUGGAAGGCUGCAUUCCAGUCCCCACUCCAUAUGAGUCUCUGAACUGUAGAUAUUUAUUUGCCCAUACAGUGUGGAGCCAUUAGCACUGGGUUUUAGUUUAAAAGUAGGUUAGCAUAUAAAGUACAUCACUAGCCUGGACUGGCUAAAAGGACUGCUGUGACUUCUACCAUUUGGAGGAAAACAUGUCGCUUGGAACUGCUGCUCAGCCAUCCCUGGCAAGGUUAAAUUUGAGCUACAGGGCUUAUAGGAGGAUUUCUGAGUAGCAAUUGUUCUGCCAUUGAUGGGAACAUGUUGUGAACCACUGAGUUUCCAGCAUUUUUCUCCAAGGCAUUUUUCUCCUAACUUCAAGUUUGCAUUUAUCUCAUCCCCACAUAGAAAGUGACAUAUGCUUGGGUGCUUUGCUUUUUAAUCUGUCUUCUCUCUGGCCAUAGCAACACAGAUACAGAAGAAAGGCUCAUAAAUCAGCCCACUGUUUCUCAUCACCAAAAUCUGGUGCGUGGCUUUGUUUAAUAUGUGGGCUUUUAUGACAGUCUUCAAAGGAAUUUAUGAGUUUAGAAAUAACAUUAAAUCAGUUCCAAGGACAAUGUUGGACUUUGUCCAAUACUAUCAGUAAAGCAUUGUGUAGCACUGUCAUUUCUCCAAGUGUUUUGGAGUUUCCAACUUUGCUACAGUGUUCACAGCGACUUUCGGUCGAAGGGAUAGGAAAUUGUCACACCCUGCUAGGUGCUUGCAGUUUGGUCACAGUAGCAUGUGGUGGGGUGAAACAGUUGAUCCUUGCAGGGUUUUGUCCUACGCUGUAGUGAAGAGGUCUUACCCUUAGGCCAUCACUAGGCAGAAGCAAUUCAGAAUAAAGCUGAACUUGUGAAGAGCUGGGUUAAUGGUAAAAAGCUGCCUUUAAUGUUAACUGGUCCCUGUUUUUAUAGUGCAGAAGAGAUUUGCUAUGCAAGCAUCCACAGUGCCGCAUCAGAUAUCAGAUAUGUUUUCUUCCCAAAGACCAACAGCCUGAUCACAAGAACAAGGACCAUGCAAAGGGAAAGCAGAGCCUGAUCGCACAGUCCACCAUUAAGAAAUCUCCCAUCCCUCUUCUUCCUCUCUUCCCUCUUCUUGCGCAAUUUAUGCCCUGAUCUCUUGUUGACAGAAACGACUUCAGGCAAUGGAGGAGGCUGCUUGGCUGAGCUCAGAGGUACUUCCAGCUUCAUGCUGCUGACACGGUCCAUUAACUAUUGAAUCUGUGCAGAGACUCCAGCCAUGCUGCAGCAUUCCUGUCGCUGGGCUUGGCCUCCUGCCUUGCUUGCUCAGUGUGUGUGCACAGUUGCUCGGCUCCCCGCUCCAAUGCCCAUGCCAUAGGAUGGCAUGGUGCCUGCUCACAGGAGUGGGAAGCCAACUUAAUGAGGGUACAGAUGAGCACUGUGAGUGGAUUUAGAUUGGCAUCCUGCUGGAUGCUUCUAUGCCAGUUCUCCAGAUGAAACUGGCCUCUUUUCUGCAAUAACUUUCUUUAAUUUUUAUUUUCAAAUCUAGACUGAAUUGAUCUGGAAAGGAAUUGCUGCCUGGUAGUACUAGGAAGUUAUUCACAGACAGCACGUGCUUUCCUUUAAGAAGGAUCUGUGGUGAGGAAUGAGUCAUGCACUGUGAGUCUUCCUUGUGUGUGGAUGCCAGGGCCUUGGUGCCACUCUCUGCUGAUUCCAUCAGAUGCGAUGACCAUCCCUGCUGUCAUCCCAUGCCACGUGUAUGCAUUCAGCGAGUGUCUCCUCAUGUUGUGGUGUGGAGAGUGAUGGAAGCACAUCCUAAAUUCUGAGCCACUGUUUUCCAAGGAGAUGAGAGUUGACAUUUAUUGACUGGGAGGCCCUAGACGUCAUGGUAAAAGUAUGAUGGAUUCAUAUCUCCAAAUAUUUGUAUGAACCAGCAAUUCAUAAAUAAUAACAGCACACAAUAAUGGAGCAAGAAAAAAAUGGAAUCAAGCAAUCUUGAAAGGAAAACAGGGAUGGAAAAACGAGAAGUUAUUAUUUGUCUGUUAUUCUAAUUGCAUGGGGUUAAAACCAGACUAGAAACAUCUGCUACUUUGAUUUUAUUGCUCAGCCUUUCCUCCUAAGUGGAGCGCUUCAAGAGAGCAGGAUCUGACCUGAAGUAAUCUAUAAAACUGUAUUCAUUACUUAGGCUUUCUUUUUGUGCUGAUUUAAAGGUUUGGCCAUUUUGAUUUCCUUUGGAUUAGCUGAGCUCAAGGGAACCCUGAAGGAAUGUGCCAUAGCUUUUUGUUAGUGGUUUUUUAUGUGAUGCAAUGGAUUAAAACUUUAAUGCAGGCAGUCAUUAAUUGUCAAAACCAAAGAUACCUCUAAACUUCUGUCUAUGAUUAUCCCUGUUGUGCUAUAUUUGAGACAUGUCAUGGUUUCUAUCAUUAAGAAGUCCUCCUUUUAAUGCCCCAUAAUGGGUAAAAGAUAGCCACAAAAAUGAUGCAUAUGGACAAAAUAUAAAGUGAAAUUACAGGUUUCCAUCCUGAAAUGAAACUACUGAUGAUGCAUACGCCAGACAGGAAUGACACAGAACAGAACUGUUAGUAAACAUAGGGUAAACUAUAAAUAUGCUUAAGACAGACAUCACGCAUUGUUACAAGUGACAAACGUUGCACUAGAAGAAAGAAAAAAGAUCACAAAUCUAGACAGACAGCAUUACUAAAAGUUGGAUAGCUGCAUGAUUCAUUCCCCAAAGAAAUCAAUGUCAGGAUGACAUUUUUCUUCAGGCAGUACUGGCAACUGCUCGUAAUUUGGGUAAACUUUCUCUGCCCUAUAAAAACAAACCAUCAAACCAAAAGGUAACCACUGAAACAGCUACCACUCAACCAAAAAAAAAAAAGUAGUAUUUUAAACAGAGCACAACAUAAAACUGCAUGAGUCAAUCUACCGUAAACUUUCGGCAAAUAGGAUGUGUCAUAGAGAUCAACUUUGGUGCUUCCAGAGAGCAGAGACUUAUACAGCAGGCUUUUUAGAAACAGACUUCGCUCCAAAUAGUAAUUCCCUAUUUUCAAUAAACUCUGACUGGCUGCAACUAGUUAUUUCUCCUGAUACAGACAGCCAAAAUAACGGACUUGUAAAUAGAAGCUUAUGGAGUUAGAUUAAUUACAGGGAUUACAUAUAGCAUUCUGUGCUUUUAAAACAAGAAGGGAUCAUUAUGACGAUCCCUGCUGGCCUCCUACGUAACAGAAGCCUUGCAGUGUCACUGACUGAUUCCUGCUCACAGCUGCAGGUGGUGCUGGGAAGUUUCCUGUACAAAAAUGUAUAUUUUUUAUUUAACUACAUCCAGUGAGUGAAAAUGCACCAACUAACUUUUUCUGGGGGCCAGUUGUGCUAAUUGUAUAACCUGCUAGUUCUUUCAUUAUGCAUUCCGCUCUGUAAUUAUUUCAGCAUACUGAAUACAUAAGGCUGUAUAAGUAAAACAGCGCAUUAAAGUGUCUUUCUGUCAAUUGUAGGCACAAAUGCCAAACAGUUCUACGUCUUGUAUCCCAAAAGCUGACUGAUGGCACUGUGCAUCACAGAGAGCAACCUUCACCCUGAAGUACUGCAGUUCUCAGCGGUGAACUUUUUUGGCACACAGCGAUGCAGAUUGUUGUUUCUACGUCAUUCCACAACUCUGUCUAAGAACUGUGUCCUCUUCAGCUUCCUGAGGGAAUCUACCACCAUCUGCAUCACAGAUCGAAACUGCAUGAUCCUGUUGAUAGUCACUUGGGAACUAUUAGCAUAACCUCUGUUUUUCUGUCUUUUAUUUUUAUAAUACUCACUGACUGGAAAAAUGAAUAAACAUGUGACUGUAAAUUGGCAUUUGGAAAAUCCAGAACUUUCACAGAAUAGUCAUGCGGAUGAUCACUUAUUCUCCAUUUCUAACCUUUGUAGUGGGCUAUGAGACUAAAAAGACCUCCUUCUGGCAACCCCCAAAGGUGAACAAGUUAGAAAAAUAGCUGCACUUGGAUACUUCGUUUCCUGACAUCAAAGCUUCUUGAGAGAGAAAUGUGCUAUUAUGAUGGCAUUAUUCUUUUUUCCUUCCUGUAAAAGAUGUGGCAGAUGUUCACUCAUUUGCGCAUUUAAAAUUCUGAUUCAUUCAGGAAAUCUGGAUAACAGAGUUGUCUAGGUUUCCUGUCAUCCUGUAGUCAGAGGUAGCAUUUUUAUUUGGAUAAUCUGGACCAGCAGUGGUCACCCCAUAUGUGGGUGUACACUGGAGGGAAGGCUAAAACACAGGAGGAAAUUUUCAUUGAACCCAUUGAGCCUGAAGUUGGCUAUACCUAACACUGCUUUAAUCAUUGAGGUGGCAGCUGUGCUACCUGCUCAUCUGGAAGCCCUGACCCAUUUUGGUACAAAAAGUUCUUGUUAUUCCAUCCUGAGAAGUUCUAACAUCUCUUUUGCUUCCAACAGGUCUUUGAAAUAGUUAUGUGAAGGGUGUGCACAUACAAAUGUGGUAGAAGAAAAAGGAGAGAGCAGGAGUUCCACAGAACUGCUUUUCCAGAGAUCUUAAGCAUCUCAGAGAUCCAGUGGAGCUGAGGAAAGCUGUGGCAGCUUGGCAGCACCACAGCCAGGGUGCCUGUAGCUCCACUGCUGCCAGUGCAGCAGCACAGGGUGAGCCAAUGUCUGACGGGAUGCUGGAACAGCUGUGGGAUGGUCCAGCUCCCUCCUCUGCCAUUCUCCAGGACCUCUCUUCCACCAGCUCUCUCCACACAGUGUUUGUGGCUAGUAGUGUGGCUUUCUCUGUCAGCUGGCUUCUGUGGAACAAUCACAAGCAGUCAGAACUGAAAUCCCAUUGAUACAGAAGAGGUGGGUGAAUUUAGGCUUUCUUUAAAAUACAAAUCAGCAAUACACACUUGAAACUCACACUUCCUUUAUUUUUUUCUUUCUGUCAGUGGAAAAUCAAGUGCUUUGAAUUUGGGAAAUGCCAGAUAUUUGUCUGUCUAGCCAGCUUAAAUUUAGUGUCGUGUUUGCGUGUUCUGGUAUGAUCUUCAGUUGCCUUCACUGCGGACUCUGUCUUCCCAGGGGCCUUGAUUAAGUUCAGUCUGGUUACAAAAUCAACACUUUGAAAUUAGCAAGUACGAAACUUGGCCUUUCCCAAGUAUCCUUCAUUCUGCAACUUCUCAGUUUUAUUCCUAGCUUCAAUAAACAAUGUCAAAAUUAAGGCAAUUGGGUCAAAUGCAAAUGUAUGAUUGCCUUAUUUCUGAAAGUUUGAUUUUGCAAAUGUUGCAGUCCAUUAAUACUCUUUUUUUCUUUUUUGUAAGUAAUGAACAAUAUAGAAAAAUUCCCUUAUAUUUUAAUAAUCUUAAGGGAUCAGCAGUGUGAAUGGGUUGUGGGUUACCAAUACAACAUUACUGCACUAUUGUAUCAGUUCAUUCAUUCAUAUGCACUCGUCAUCGCUUUUCAAGUAACUGAAGCUGUUACAAACUUCAAGAUAUUUGAAUGAGAAAAACCAAUAAUGUUUGGGUUAUCUGUGGAAAUUCAGCCUUUGUACUUUAAUAGAGGAGUAGAAUUAUGAGAAAACUGGCAGGUAUUUUAAAAUCAAUGGGAAGAGAAUCCCUCCAGAACUCAAAACAAAUUAUUAAGAAGUUUUGGAAAACAACUUCAGACAGAACAAAAUCCAAAUAUCAUAGACUCUUCUAAAUUAUUAUUAUUUUGAGUCUUGCAGCAGGCUGCUGAGCUGAGGCUUGGCACCUUGCUUUUGCUCUGGUUACUGACCAGCUGCAGAUCUGGACAUUCAGUGUUUUGUUUAUUUACCAGGUUGGCCUUUAUUGUAGGUUCUCCCUUUCCUUCAUCUGAAUGUCUAAGGUGAAUCUAGUAAUAACAAUAUCCUAGAAGUUCUCAGCUCUAAUUUAUUUUCUUUUUCUGCAAAGAAUCCUUUGCUGACUUUUUUGUACUGCAAUGCCAGUGGAGGCGAAGAAAUGCAGUUGAAUUGUUAAGACAGAGCCUUUCCCAAAUGGCUUUUCUCCGUUGCAACACACUGACUAAAUAUGACAAAGUUUUCUGCAUCAACAGUACUUUGCUGCAUCUGUGUGUGUUGACCCCUUACAAAAAGUAAAAGCUUUUUGCUGUAAGUGCCCAAAGGCAUGUGAACUCCUGUUGUUUGUAUCUAUAAACUAAAAGUGGUUAAAAGUGACUUGAGUUUUGAGAAGAUAUUAUUGUGAGAUAUUUGUUUAUCUGAAACAGAAUGACACUUGAUAUCAUUUUUGGACUAAAUGCAACUACGCACCAUUUUGAGUAUCAAAGGAACAGCCUAGCACCCACAUGGGGAAAAUUGUUAGGAGUGGUUUGUAUCAUCAGCUGGUUUGUUUGUUACUUUGGGUUUGUUUCAGCAAAAUGAGUGCAGCACUUUGUUAUCUUGGGGAUACAUCCAGUCCUGAGACGGGACACAGAACACACAAAGCAUGCAGGCUAUUGUACUUUUUUGUAGUGUAAAAGGGAUGAGGCUUGACCCAGAUUCUUGCCUUAUGCUUCAAAGCAGCUCUUGUAGAAGUAGCACUGCUUCCAGUUUCUCUAAUAGGUACCACAUGUAAAGUCUUCUUUAAGACUUAUUACUAAGCCCACAUUUAAAAUUAAGUUUGCUCUGAAGAGAAAGUCCCUGGGGAAGGGCAGGUGGGAAGCCUGCAACAUCUCCUUAUACAUAAUUUGGGGAAAUAAAACCUUUUAAUAGUCCAGCUUCACAGCUGGCCGAUUUCACAGACUGUCAAGGAUGGGUUGAUGUGCUCAACCUUGAACACACAGCCCUUCCUUGUUAGUUUUAUGAUGUUUUCCUGUUACUUUCAGGUUUCCCUUGGCUAGAAGGAAAUGAGCUGAAAAAAUUGAUUAGAUAUUAAGGUGACUUUUAUUGUUAUGGAGAACUCCUAUAAAAAUUCCUUGGUGACUCCACUUCCUUGAACACCUGUCAACAGACUGCCCAGUGGAAUGAGAGUCCAAUAGGAAACGAGUAGGUUUAGAUAAAUUCCGUGACAAGAAGGUCUAAGUUAACAAAAUUAAAAACAUUCCUCAUAUCUUUUCCCCAGGCAUGCAUAUUCUUCCACUUGCAAUCCACAGAGAGAGAUGUGUGAUACAGACAGGGGAAUUUGGCUCCAAGCCUGGCAGGCCAAACAUAUGAAAAAGAUUGUUCCAGUAAGGUCUCCAUAAGUUGAUCAAAGCCUGCUGAAAUUGAACACGUAGAGCUGUUUGGUUGGUGACUGAGCUGGAGAAAACUCUCGAAGAAGGUUGCCAUUCCAAUAUACGAAGAACUGUAACAUCUCUUUUUAGGAAGAAAAUAAAGGUAAAUUUCAGAAUGCCACGUUAUGUAGCAGUUUUUCCAUGACAUACAGCUAUUUUACACUAAAAAUGGGCCCCUUAGGAAUAAUUCAUGGAAUCAGAUUGAAGCACCAGGACUGACAGAUGCAACGUGAAGAGGAGGGCCGAGAGGAGCAAGGUUUAUGCAGUCACUUCACUACAUUUCACUCAAGGUGUAAAUAUGAAAACCACCUGAGCAGUUAAUAAAGUGUUGUGUAGCAUUUUCAUUGGCUAGAAGUGUUGUUAUUCUGCUAUUUCUAAAGAUAAAAUGGACCACGCGGGGGAAAAAAAACAACAAAAUUGUUGUCAAGGUGUAGUUUGAAUGGAUGCUGUUGAAAGUGGGAUUUUUAUUUUGGAUUUGACUGCUGUUGUUUAUGAAUACCCACAGCUCAAUUCAGUAGGAGAGAAAAAGUUGGUAGUCUUGCUUGUCCAAAACCUCCCUCUUUGAUUCCCACAGGCAUAUGCAGUUGGCCUACAGCUGAGUCUGUUGGGCAUGGCAGUUUCUUGGAAUAUUUGAUGUGGGUUUGUGGUAACUGCAGUAGA
Non-coding RNA from Phasianus colchicus (ring-necked pheasant), 7890 nucleotides. NCBI's taxonomy places the organism in Eukaryota, Metazoa, Chordata, Aves, Galliformes, Phasianidae. The record is from RefSeq and is a predicted model, not a curated record.